Molecule: RNA transcript, 5523 nt
Organism: Bicyclus anynana (squinting bush brown)
Lineage: Eukaryota; Metazoa; Arthropoda; Insecta; Lepidoptera; Nymphalidae
Gene name: mitochondrial potassium channel ATP-binding subunit
Exons: 14
Source: RefSeq, a predicted model, not a curated record
AGUGACAUGUGAGAGGCUGAGAGUGACAGAUUAUGGCAAUAACGUAAUCAAGUUAAUUUACAACAUUUAACUUUUAUUAUCAAUGAAAUCAUGAAAAGUAUUAUAAUUAUUCAAUAGUUAUUAUACUUGUAAUCAUAAAAAUGUGGCAUUUACUAAACGCUAACACUUGUACUACUAUACGACAAAGGUUACUACCGAUCAAGAGUAAUGGUUACUUCGUAAAUUUAGUCCAAAAUAAGCCGUCUCAAGCUAUAAAACGGUAUAUAUCAAAUGUUAAAACAUCGAGAGGAAACGAUGCUUCAAAUGGACUACUGUUGCUCUGUAGUCCAUGGAAACUGUGUACAGGCAUCAGUUUAGGGUUAGCUACACGUUUGCUAUAUAAUAAUUAUGUAUAUUGUAAAGCCUUGCCCUCUAGGGUGAUACAGCGUAGACCAAAUGUAAAUGAGGAUAGUGCAAAGUUCGAUUGGAAGAGGUUUUUGGAGUAUCUCCUGCCACACAAAUGGCUCUUGGUUGCUGCUGUUGCUUCAGCCCUAGCUGUGGCAUUCCUGAAUGUCUACAUUCCAGCCAUGUUGGGCGUGAUAGUGAAUGUGCUUGCCGGCGUGAGAAACCAUCCCCCCGCUGACUUCAUUGAAGAAAUCAAGAUGCCUGCUCUAGAGCUGAUCUCAUUAUACAUCGGACAGGCAAUCUUCACAUUCCUGUACAUCCAUCUGCUGGCUCAAGUAGGUGAGCGGGUUGCAGCUCAAAUGAAGCAAGAUCUUUUUGUGUCAAUACUGAAACAGGACAUGGCAUUUUUUGACCAGGAAAGAACUGGUGAAUUAGUAAAUAGGAUUACUGUAGAUGUACAAGACUUCAAGAGUUCUUUUAAGCAAACUAUAUCAGGUGGAUUAAGAGCUAUAACUCAGGUAGUAGGUUCCGCAGUGAGCCUGUUAGUAAUAUCCCCACAUCUGACCGGGCUGACGCUGGUGUGUGUGCCCUCAGUUGUUAUAGGAGGCACAUUCAUCGGAUCACUGUUGAGGAAGCUGUCCAGAGAAGCCCAGGCACAGAUAGAAAAGUCAACGCUAGUAGCUGAAGAAGCGAUAGCGAACGUUCGAACAGUUCGCGCGUUCGCCGGGGAAGAGAAUGAAGCGAGACUGUUUGCUGAGGAAUGCAAAACUGCAGCCGAUCUGAGUAUGGAGUUGGGUUUGGGUGUUGGGCUGUUCCAAGCUGGGACCAAUUUGUUUUUGAAUGGUAUGGUGUUAGCGACAAUGUUUCUGGGCGGACACCUGAUGACCACGGGUCAAAUGACCGCGGGUGACGUCAUGGCGUUUCUCGUCAACGCGCAAACGGUCCAGCGUUCUGUAGCUCAACUAUCGCUGCUCUUUGGAUCAGUGGUCAAAGGACUUAGUGCGGGCGGGAGAGUGUUUGAGUACAUCAACAAAGAACCUAAGAUGGACACGUCGGGUACUAAAGUGAUUAAAUACCACGCAUUCCACGGAGACAUAGAGUUCAAGGACAUCACUUUCGCUUACCCUACGCGACCAGAAGCGAUAGUUCUAAAGAAUUUCAACUUGAAGAUCCCAGCCGGCAAAACAGUCGCCAUUGUUGGAACCUCGGGCAAUGGGAAGUCGACUAUCGCUGCUUUGUUAGAAAGGUUCUAUGACGUCGACAAGGGGUCAGUGACCAUAGACGAGGUGGACGUGCGAGACUUCGAUUGUCGCUGGCUCCGAGGCAGGGCGCUGGGCCUCAUCAGCCAGGAGCCGGUGCUGUUCGCGACCACGGUCAGGGAGAACAUCCGGUACGGCCGGCCGGACGCGAGCGACGCGGAGGUAUACGAAGCAGCGAAGACAGCAAACGCGGAUGGGUUUAUCCGUGGCUUCCCCGACGGCUACAACACGAUGGUGGGCGAGCGGGGCAUGUCGCUGAGCGGCGGGCAGAAACAGCGCAUUGCCAUCGCGAGGGCCGUGCUGAAAAAUCCACCCAUUAUGAUACUCGAUGAAGCUACAAGUGCUUUAGAUUCAGCCAGCGAGCAAGUGGUGCAGACAGCGUUAGAGACAGCGUCCAAGGGCCGCACCGUGGUCGUCAUAGCGCACCGACUGUCCACUGUCAUGAAUGCUGACCUCAUCGUGGUGUUGAGCAAGGGGAACAUUGUUGAGGUACUUUAGAUUCAGCCAGCGAGCAAGUGGUGCAGACAGCGUUAGAGACAGCGUCCAAGGGCCGCACCGUGCUCGUCAUAGCGCACCGACUGUCCACUGUCAUGAAUGCUGACCUCAUCGUGGUGUUGAGCAAGGGGAACAUUGUUGAGGUACUUUAGAUUCAGCCAGCGAGCAAGUGGUGCAGACAGCGUUAGAGACAGCGUCCAAGGGCCGCACCGUGCUCGUCAUAGCGCACCGACUGUCCACUGUCAUGAAUGCUGACCUCAUCGUGGUGUUGAGCAAGGGGAACAUUGUUGAGGUACUUUAGAUUCAGCCAGCGAGCAAGUGGUGCAGACAGCGUCCAAGGGCCGUACCGUGCUCGUCAUAGCGCACCGACUGUCCACUGUCAUGAAUGCUGACCUCAUCGUGGUGUUGAGCAAGGGGAACAUUGUUGAGGUACUUUAGAUUCAGCCAGCGAGCAAGUGGUGCAGACAGCGUUAGAGACAGCGUCCAAGGGCCGCACCGUGCUCGUCAUAGCGCACCGACUGUCCACUGUCAUGAAUGCUGACCUCAUCGUGGUGUUGAGCAAGGGGAACAUUGUUGAGGUACUUUAGAUUCAGCCAGCGAGCAAGUGGUGCAGACAGCGUUAGAGACAGCGUCCAAGGGCCGCACCGUGCUCGUCAUAGCGCACCGACUGUCCACUGUCAUGAAUGCUGACCUCAUCGUGGUGUUGAGCAAGGGGAACAUUGUUGAGAUGGGAACACACAAUCAACUGAAAAAACUGAAGGGUCAUUACUGGAACCUCAUAAAACAACAGGACCAAGAAACAGAAAGCAAGUCGUUAUGAAGAUAGUUGUACCAAAGUGAUUAGUCAAUUUGCCUUAGUGCACUAAUUAAUUUUAUUAUUUAUUUAUGGACAGCAUCAAUCGAGUCAUAAUAGAUAGGUCAAUUAUAAUAUUUUUUAUAUCAAUUAUUAUUUAUUUGGUGGUUCACAGGAGAGGGUUCUGGGUUCGAUUCCCAACUCAUUUUAGUUUUUUAUAAUUGCUCAAUUGGCUCAGGUUUGGUCUGGUGGUGUUAUAAUUCAAAAAACAUUUAUUUAAUUACUAGCGUACACCCGCGACUUCGUCCGCGUGGAAUUCAGUUUUUCAUCGGCAUAUUUGUCAUAUUUUAAAUCCCUUACUAUACGGGAAUAUGGCGAUAAAACAUAGCCUAUGUUAGUCCCUGAUAAUGUUCUUUCUAUUGAAGAAAGAAUUUUUCAGAUUGGGCCAGUAGUUUUGAGUUUAUUCGUUACAUACAAUAAAACGAAUUUUCCUCUUUAUGUUAGUAUAGAUAUUAUGGCAAAUAUUAAAAGCCUAAAAAAAUAAAAGUAUAAAAAAUACAGCCUUUUUAUAAUUUCCAUAUCGUUUGUCUCGAUUGAUCUUGAAUUUGGGUAUAUAUACUGUAGAUAUAAUUUUAUAAAUUUAAGUUUAAAAUGGAAAAUUUCGAAUGAAGUAAACAAUGACAAUAUAUAUGGGCUAUAUGGUAUAUGUAUUAACUAUAUUUUUAGGCACUUAUCAAGAGGUCGUUAUAUAUAGCCAAAUCGGCUUAUACUAGAUUUAACCAAUAGUAAAUCGCUACGCCUACUCGAAGUUCUAACCGUCUAAUACUAGAAGUAGCCACAUUAUAAUUACAUAAAAUAAUUAAUUGAUUAUGACACACGGCUAAAAUUCUCGUGAUACAAGGGGGCCCUUAGUCAUGAGCUGAGCUUGAGUGCACCACUCAACCCCUCUCCUAGCGCGCGAUGCGAGCAGCUGCGCGCCGCCGCUUCGCAAUUUGGAUCGUGCCGCGUUGCAAGAACCAGCUUAUGACUAAGGGCCCCGUAUGGGUUCGAAACUAGUCGGGCAUAGUUCGACCUUAUUUAUAUCACGUGAGUUUUAGUCGUGUUACAUAAUCAAUUAAUAUGAAUAAGACGAUAGUUUAAAUUCUAAAACACAAAAUAAUUAAGUUCCUAGGCAAUCGAUCCAGUGUAAUAAAUACAUAAAUUAACGUGCAAACUGAUUUUUGCAUGUAGCCUUAUAGGUAUAUAGUGUAUAUAGCAAAGAUUUUCUACUAUUAGACAUGGUACGUGCCUACAAAAUCGCCGCAAAAAUUAACCCGAAUUUAGUUAUUCUACUGAGCGCUCACACAUGCACAAUUUUGUGUUUACUUACAUUAUAUAUUUAGCCAUAGUUGGGCACCGUUAAUCAAAUAGUUAACUUCGUUAAUCGUUAAUCCGCUACAAAAAAAGUUAGCUUCGUUAAACGUUAAACCGUUACAUUCCGGAAGAAUUAACGCAAGUUAACGUUAAUCGUUAAUCCGUUAACAUGACUGUGUAAUUUUACAUUUUUAUAUCAUUGUAUGAGAUCACCAUUGGAUAAAUAAGGAUGAGCACCGGGGAAAAGUGCCAUAAUUUGUUUUUUGUUGAUUUUAUCUAUACAUAUUUAACAUAAAUAUAGUAAUUAGUUGAUUUCUUUGAAAAAAAAUCAUUCAUCAUUUCUUUCUUGUCUGUACUUGUUUUUCGCGUCGCGCCGUAAAUAGUAGGCAUUGGAUUAACGAUUAACGGACUUAUGCAUAUUAACGGAAGUUAACGUGUCCGUUAACAUUUUUAAAAGUUAACUUAAAAGUUAAUCCGUUAAUCAAAAUAUUAACUUCGUUAAUUAGCGAUUAACGGAUUAACGAGUUAAUGCCCAGCUAUGUAUUUAGCAGUAGCGAAAACUGAAAUUAUCUCGUAGGUAACACGUUUAUGUGGUUUUUUAGUCUGAAUGUGUUAAUAUAGCCUCAAUAGCUCAACGGUAAGAGCGGUCGGACUCAUCACUGAGGGGUGGUGGUUCGAUCCUCACCCCGUUGGUCUAUUGUCAUACCCACUCCUAGCACAGUCUUUCCCGACUAGUUGGAGGGGAAUGGGUAUUUUGGUCAUAUUUAAAAAGAUAUGGCAAAUAUUCUUAAUAAAAAAAAAACUGAGUACUCGUACGUUAAAUUAUUUACGUACGUAAAACUCGUGGAUAUUUAAAAGGUAACCCCAUAGGAAUCGGGUUCUAAGGAAUCAUCCUCUGAUAUUUAGUUUUUACACUUCCUGAACACACAACUCGACAUGUAGACAGUAUUUAGAUAUUAUCUGUUUAAAUAACAUUGCAACUAAAUGAAAUUAAGUCAAUUAGCCACUUUUGUUUGCCUCAGUUUCGACGCGCUAGGGACAUAUCUAAUAGUAUAAAAUCUUUGUCAUAUAGGUUGUAUAGGGUAGAAUAAAUUCACGGGUUCCAUUCCCAGGCAUGGUUGUCAAUAUUUAUUGAAUCGACAAAUUGUGAUUGUGUUGAAAUAAUUUAUGAUUAAUUGUUAAAUCGGUGAUACAAAGUGUUAUAGCGAUUGGUGGGAGAAAUAAACUGUUUGUUAUAAA